ACUUGGGCUCGCGUCCUCGGCCGCGCCGCGCGGCACCCGGGCCCAGCAGCCGGGAGGCGGCAGCUCUCCUCUACGCCCGUCCCCUCAGGGCGGCUGUGGAUGUUGCCAGUAUUGUCGAUGCUUCAGAGCGACGUUUGCCCUGCGACACAGGCGGGCCGGCUCUCCUCUGUCUUUAUUUUCCUGGAGGCCGACAGGAGCGGGGCCCGAGUUCGGUGGUGGUCGUGAGCGUGGGGGGCACUCAGGCCCGGACGGGCUCUCAGGUCGCCGACGGCGGCGGCUGGAGGCCGCGCUGGCUGUCCCAGGUCGUCGUUAGCUUUAGGGAGCCGAUCUCCGGGCGGCCCCACAGAGGACGCCCGCGAUUCGAUGGCGAUGAUGCCCGUUUUAAAUGGUGUCCCUGCAGCCGGGUGGAUGGAUGGAUCGUACACCUUGCCUUUUGAGAGCCGGGACCUUACGCCCGACUGCGUGUUAUUUCUGCGAAUAAGAACGCAACCUUUGGAGGUGAAGACGACUGUCGGCUGGAUUGAAUUGGAAUCGUGUUUGUGAUGAUGCGUUUAUUUCUGGAAAUACGCGGUCUCCGCUGCUUUUGCUUUUUGUCGGCAGAGGUUUGGGUUCUUCUCUAACGGUCAGGAUAAAGGCCUGUAGGCGACGCUGCGCGAGCGAGAAGCUCGCCCGCGGCUGCCCGGGCGCCCCCCUCUAGGUGUGGGUGGAGCCGAGCGCGCGGGGAGAACCGCCGGCCCCGACUCAGCCACCGGUGACUGCGGGCGACCCGCGGGCCUGCGGCCAGCUGAUUUCAAACAUCGUUUUCCUCUUUAGGUUCGGAAAACUGAGGCGCUGGACAAGGCUGGAAUACAAUAUGUGAUUAUACGUACAGUACUAUGGUUGUUGUAGUUUUUAAAUUGUAAAACAAGAAGUAACCAUUGUUCCACCGUUCUCUAUUAAGUUUGUGUAAAUUAAAAAGGGGCUAUUUUCGGUAAAAAGUGCAGUAGGUAAGCGGAAUUUUACUCAACCGGGACGAAAUUCGUGUUAUAUGAAUUGUAUUGUGUAUUUGUGUGUGUACCAGUGCGCUAAAAGUAAGUAGGAAAACUUGCUUAGAUUAUUCCUUUUGCCUCAGGCCACUCAGGGGGCCAAGAUCCUGUCACUCCUUUUCUCUAGGCCCUGCGAAUGGCUUCCCGUCUUGAGGGGAGUGAGCCAAAGCCUUGACUGCGGCAGAAGUCCCCGCGCGCCGUUGAGGGUGGGGGCGGGCCUGCCCUGGCAUCCUUGCGAGUAGGACUCUUCCCUGAGCGUCGUCCACAGGGCUUGCUCCUUCACCUUCAGGAUUUUGCUCGUGUCACUCGGUGCUUCCGCGGCUACUUUUAAACUGAAAGUUCCCUAGCCCCCUUCUCAUUUUAUCCUUUGGACAGUCUACAUAUCCAUACUUGUUUAUCUUCUUAUCUCUCCUUCCCCAGUGCAAUGUAAGCUCUAAGAGGACAAGAGGUUGUGUUUUUCUGCACUGGUGUUACGGCCCCCGCCUAGAAUGCCACACAGUAGAUGCGUAGUAUGUGGUUAAGGAAUGAAUGCGAUUAUAAGGGCCUUGAUGCUCCCCCAUUUCUGUCUUUAAUAUGUACUUAUAUGCUACAGAGAGCUUUAUAAAAGAUUUAAAACACGUUUAUUACAGAAUUCUAUAAAAAUAUAUUGCUUCUAAACAUUGGAAAGCCCUCCACAACACCAGAAACCCACAAAUGAGGGAUAAAAUUUGUUUUUAGGCUUCUGUAAAUGAGCAUGCCCGAGGACAGUGCAUCAAAUGAUCAUAUCCAUACUGGGCCGAUUAUGUUUGCUCUUCUGAGUCUCAAACUGCAUUCUUCAUCUUGUCGUCCUCUGUCUUUCAAAAUACAUUAAAAGUGAGAAUUUGGUUGGCUCAGAGCAAAUCCAGCACUAUUGGAAAAGUUCAUUCAGCAAGUAUUUAUUGGGCACAAAUGGGUACCAGGCACGCUAAUUCAAAAGGUGUGUGUUUCUGAGGCUAGAAGGCCUUACAUAAAGGACCACAUGUGGCUACUUUGGUUGCUACUCAAUUAUGCUGUCAAGCAAAGCAAAUGCUAGUGAAAUUUAUUUUUAGUUUUCUUCUGAAGAAAAGGUUCAAUGAAAGCUGAGGUCAGGCUUGGUGUGGAUAUUUUAAUUCACCAUUUAGUUUGCUGUUUGCUUACACUUAGGUUAGCAUUAGAUAUACUUAAUCAUGAUUUUUGAGUACUAUAAAACGUGAGAAAUCUUAUUUCCUAGUGGCUGGAAAAACAGGCUUUUUAAAUUAAAAUAAGUAAAUAUAUCAGUAAGCUAGAAGCUAUGCAAUAAGGCUUUGGCUAUGGUAUUACAAAUUUUCAUAUUUCAUGUAUUGAAUUUUUGGACAAGAAAAGACAGCCUUGAUAGGUAUUUUAUAACCAUUAAUACAAUUAAUCAAACAUUGUUUAGUAAAUCCAAUCGUCUAUUCAUUAUUAUUUUUCCCAUUAAUCUUCAGAACAGCUUUAAGUUAAUACAGAUGACUCAGAAUGUGUUUUUCACUCAGUUUCAAAAUACCAUUAUUUCAAUUCGCUAAUAGAAGCACAAUUAUCUUCUUGUCUGCUUUCUUAAAUGUUACUGGUAAACUAGUAAUUUUGCAUGUCCAGGUAACUGCAGCUGCUACAGUCAAUCUGCUUUGGAAAGUCUUGGCAUUAUUGUGUCAUUUAAUUUAAAAUUUUUAAGUUUUUUUAGUUUCUUCCCUUAUUGAGGACUUAUUAGGCGCUAAUUAGCUUUAUGCUAGACAUCUCAUGCAUGGCAGUGAAUGAAAACAACACUGCCUUUGAGGGUUUUAACUUGUAUAUAGUUUAUACCAUUUUUUUUCCAGGUUAUAGAAUCAAAGAAAUUGUUUCAAUUCAUAUCACAGUAUUUCUCUAUUAAAUCAAAUGGUAUUUUGCUUGCAUAAAUUUAAGUAUCCAAGUUGAGAUCUUACAUAGAAUCUGUUAAUCUAAUAUUAGUGUUUUCUUCAUUUCAUUGUCUUGGGUUUUUUUUUCUUAAUAAUUAUUUUUCCCAAUACCAUCCAUUUGUUUUGCUCUUACAUUUUUAAGUCUUUUAUGUUCCAAAUCAGGUGACUUACAUCCUCCACUUGUCCAUUGAGGAUAGCCCAGUAAACCUUUAUUCUGACUUUAAAUUGCCUCCUUGCUUCAAGAACUGAGUUGCAUGACUCAGUUUUCUUUGCUAGAAAUAUCCCUGGAUAGUCUCGUAUGUAUUCUUGAUCAAUGAAUUGCAGAAGAUUUGAUUAAAAAUUUUAAAUGGAUUUCAGGGAUAAACUAUUUGUAUCAAAUGUCAUCACCAGGAAUUUCUACAACUGAAAAAUUUGAAUUGUUAUUUUUAUUGAAGAAUAUUUAUCUUUAAGAUAAAUGCAACUUGCUAUAAAAUGAUAGAAAUGAAAAAUUUUAGAAAAUCAUUUUCUACUCACUAUUUUAUGCCUGCCAGUUAUCCUUUGUUAGUGAUAAAAUUGUCUUUUAUGGGAACGAAUUUGUUAAAGGUAGAAAAAAAACUGGUAGUGUAUGUAUGUUUUAUAGAUUAGACACUACCAAAAUUAUUUAACAUUUAGAAUAAUUAACUUGCUUUCAGGAUGACAGAUGACUUAAGAAACUGAUGAAGGGUUAAUUAAGGAUAUUGAUUUUUAGGGCAGAACUACAAAAUUAUCAAAUCACUUAACACUGUAAAUAUGUUCCUGUUUCAGGUUUUCAAAGUAAAUACCUUAAUCAAAUUUGGAAAUAGUAUUUAUGGAUUUUAUUCAACAUAGAUUAUCUAUUUUGUUAAAAUUAUAGAAAUGAACAGUUCUUUUCCCAUGGAUGCCUUUUUUCAUCUUGGCCUAUUCUGAUCCUUUAAGAACAAGCUUUGUCCUUUCAUUAAUACUUCUCACCUAUAAUUACGAAUUUUCUCUAAACUUGUAGAUUUUAUUAUCCAUGCCAUCUAUUUAUAAUCCUAUGACACUCCUAUAUUGUUUAUGGUUUUUUUGUUUUUUUUUGUUUUUUUUUUUAGACGAAGUCUUGCUCUGUCACCCAGGCUGGAGUGCAGUGGUGCAAUCUCGGCUCACUGCAAGCUCCGCCUCCCGGUUCACGCCAUGCUUCUGCCUCAGCCUCCCCAGUACCUGGGACUACAGGCGCCCACCACCACGCCCGGCUAAUUUUUUGUACUUUUAGUAGAGAUGGGGUUUCACCGUGUUAGCCAGGAUGGUCUCCAUCUCCUGACCUCGUGAUCCCCCGGCCUCGGCCUCCCAAAGUGUUGGGAUUACAGGCGUGAGCCACUGUGCCUGGCCUUACUGUUUAUGUUUUCAUGCAUCUAUACCUUAUGUUACUAAAUCAAAGUGACCAGUUCCACAUUAUACUACAAGUUUCACUGUGUAAUGCAUAAGAAUUACACAGAGGGAAGGGCCUCAAAAAAUGCACUUCUGAAGUAUUUUAAUGUAAAAUUAUUUAAGACCAUAAAGUUUCAUGAAAGCCUAAUCUUUCUGGAACCUACACAUACUCUGCAUGUGAACCAGAGUUAAACUAGUCAAGUAUUUUAAUACUGAACUAAUCUGGAAAAACAUCAUUUAAAAAAUUACUGUAUUUAUGAAGGAAGAAUAUAAAAUCUGUUAAAAACUUAAAACAUCUAAAAUAGGUAUGAAGAGAGGCUUAUGGUGCUCAUUUUAACAGCAUUCUUGAGUAGGUUACCUUGCAGUCAAAGCAUCUGCUCCAGACCAGUGUUUUAAACUGUGGAUUAUGGUACCACUAUGGGUCAUGAAAUUAAUUUAUUGCAUUAUGACUAGCAUUUUUUAUUUAAAAUAGAGAAAAGAAUAGAAAAUAAAAGCGUACAUCACAGAUGGUAAGGGUAUGUGUUUUUAAGUAAACAUUUGUUCAUGUGUAUAUGUGUUAGAUUACCUUGUAAAACAUAUUCCUUAUUGUGGGUUACAGGCCAAAAAAAGUGUUUGUUUUUGUUUUUAAAAAUCUACAGUUCAGAUUUUCCUUAGAAAAUGGGGAAAAAAGGAAUGUUAGAAAGAUCUGACUGCCUAUGAACUAGUGAAGGAUUUUAGAGGAAGUACCAGGCUAUUUUAGAGAUCUGAUACUGGUUUCAGAAAGGUAAUCUUAAGGCAAAGGGUAGGAAAUAAAGUUAUGUUGUUAGUAGAAAUGUCAAAUACGGUUAAAGUUGUGAGGAGGAAUUAUUUUCCUAGUGGACCUACAUUUGUUGUGUGUAGAUCUGUGACUAUUACUGAUCUGUUGUAGCACAUUUUCCAAUCUAAAAUGUCCGAUACAGCACAAUAAUAAACAUGGGGCAGAAUAUAUGUUUGUUUCUAUUUCUUCCCACCUUCCCUUCAAUCUUAAAACAAGUGUUUAUUAAUAAGUCAGACCAAAGCAAAUUUCUAUCUUUCACAGAGUAAUUAUCAUAGGAACAAAUUACUCCCUGAAAAUGGUGGAAACUUCUUUCUCCCUCCGAAAAAUAAACUUUCAAUAAGUGUUUUCUCUCUAGCCAAAGUAAAUAAGUUCUUAAAUAGGUAACUCUCAUUUGCCAUCCAACUCAUUCUAUAUAUUUAAAUAAAUGUACUUACACUUGUGUAUAGGAUUUAAAAGGGGGAAACUUAAGAAGGAAGAAAUUGUGUAUAGAAUUUAAAAAGGAGGCAUUAUAUUGCAUGAGUAGAAUGAAAAGUAUCUAACCAGAAAGCAAAUAAGUUAAGGAUUAUAUUAUACUGAAAUAUUUUAAUACAAUUUAAAUAUUUCAUUACUCUUUCACUUUAUUUGCUAUUUGUAGAUUUCAGUAUUGUAAUGUUGGCAAGUCUAUUUAAGACGGCAUUAAUAAAAAUUUUGUUUUUCAGGCAUGUGAUACCAAGUCCCUUUCCAUUAUAGAUAAGUAAGGCCUAGGUUGGUUAAAACCUUAGCUAAACACAAAAUUUGCUAGAGAAUCAACAUAUAAGAAGCUCUAACUCCAAGCUUAUUCACCCCAGAUAUUUCACCAAUGUUAACACAUACCCUAUUGAACUAAGAAAGGAAUUAUAUUACUAACCAGCAGAGGGAGCCAAGUCAAUCAUGAAAGGUAGGAGUAUAAAGGAACAUCAUAUGACUUCCUGUUUUGAAUUUAACUGUAUGGCCCCUGCUCACUUUUUGAGUUUACCAAAAAGACAGUCAUAAGGAGAGAAAGGCGACCAAUGUAUCAAAUAAGGAUACAGUGACAAUUAUAACUUAGAAUUACCUUGCAGGAAAUAAAUUGGAAGAAAAAUUGAAUGCAGAACUAUACAAGUGAAAUGUCUCAGUAUUAUAACCCAAGAUGGAAAAACCAUGGAAAACAGUACCUUAAUGCCAUGAUGAAUUGCUAGCCAAAUGUAACAGUGAAUAUUUCUUAAUAAUUCCAUUUUCACUUAAAGUUGAAAUUAGGCCAUAAAUAGACACAUUUUAAAACUAUAAAGUUGUACAUCAAAUUUAUGUGCAUUUAAUCUAAGAAAUAAGGGAUAAAAUUUAAUAAAAAAUUAUUACAGUGAAUUAAUAAGGACAUGAUUUUUCAGCUUAAAAUUAGAGAACAGAAUUGUUUCCACUACUGUUUAUAAACACAACAAAUAAAGUAAUAUCUGUUUUGUGAGAGAUGUUUGGAGGAAUCUAGUAGCUAAGUGAUUAUGUCAGUUUAUUUAAUUUUGUCUAAGAACUUCAAAAUGCCUGAUAGAAUGGGUGCAUAUUGAAUGAAUAGAUGUGAUCUAUAUAUUAUUUGAAGUAAAAGUAUAAGAGCUGAGCGUUAGCUAACUGCAUCAAAAUAAAUGUAAAGACCCAAACAUUUUUAGUUGAAUAACCAAAUGAAUUAGCUAGUCUAGCCCCUUACUCGUUUCAAGGUUUGUGGAAACAUACCAUAUAUACUUUUACUCAUGUGUUUAUUCCUUUCAAAAAUAUACUUCUUAAGCACUAUCUCCAUAGGACGUGGAGCAUAUCUUCAUUAUGAAGUAGACAAACUUCUUAAAUUUUAUUGAAAGAUUUAAUUUCAUUGAUAUAUGAACAAUCAUACAAAUUCAGUAUGCCACCAGUGAUUUCAAGAAAGUGAUACUUAGAAGCAAAUCAUUUAUGGGACUAGACUGCCUUUGUAGGACUAACAAAUUAGGCACAAGAUUAGAAAUUAUAGUUUAAUAGUCAUGCAGCUGGAGGCUACACGAUUCUGACCCUCCCUAACCUGCUCCUAAGAUCAGUGCUUGAGAUAUUCUGCAGACCCUGCACUUGAUGGAUCAGCUGGCACCACCCAGAUCAAUAAACUGGCUCAUCUGAUCUUGUGGCCACCACCCAGGAACUGAUUCAGAGCAAGAGGACUGCUUCAAUUCCCUAUGAUUUCAUCUCCAACCCAACCAAUCAGCACACUCUAUUCACUUGCCUUCCCCCACCCACCAAAUUAUCCUUAAAAACUGAUCCCCAAAUGCUCCAGGAGACUGAUUUGAGUUAUAAUAAAACUCCGAUCUCCAGCCAAAAAAUAAAAAAUAAAAAGCAAAUUAUUUGAUUUUGAGUACUAGAAAGUAGACUUUAAACUUUUUGAAGGGUAUAUUCUUUUAUAAUGCUAUAUUAUACUGGCAUUAUUUUAUAAAUUGGCAUUUGGUGUCAAGUCAGUUAAUCACAGCGAUAAUAUCCAAGAUGUACAGCUCAUCAGUCCUAGAGACAUUUUUUUUUGUUUGUUUAAGACAGAGUCUCUGUCACCCAGGCUGGAGUGCUGCAGUGGUGCGAUCUCGCCUGCCUCGGCCUCCCAAAGUGCUGAGAUUACAGGCGUGAGCCACUGCGCCCAGCCUAGAGACAUUUUAAUGCCAAAAAACCCUCAAUGCCACCAGUAUUACUACUUCUAAUUAUUUGUUUCCUUUACACACGAGUUGUGAUGAAUAUGGGCUAUUAGAAUUGCAUAAACAGCCUAAGCUUUUAAAUGUUUCCACUCAUGAAAAAUAGCUAUUAUGAACUUUUAAACAUUAAAUUAAUAAAGUGCAAUAGCUUUACCAUGAACUAUUCCUUAUUGAUAAACAUAGUAAUGGGUUAACUCAUGUCAAAGUCCAAUAAAAACUAGUAACUUUGUCACCAAAGUCAACAUUUCAGCAUCUAUGAUAUGUAGUAUAGGUAUUUCUGUUUUAUCUAGUUUUCAUUUAAUAAUCUAAAAGAUUCUGGCCGGGCACGGUAGCUCACGCCUGUAAUCCCAGCACUUUGAGAGGCCGAGGGAGGCAGAUCACGAAGUCAGGAGAUAGAGACCAUCCUGGCUAACAUGGUGAAACCCCGUCUCUACUAAAAAUACAAAAAAUUAGCCGGGCGUGGUGGUGGGCGCCUGUAGUCCCAGCUACUAGGGAGGCUGAGGCAGGAGAAUGGCGUGAACCCGAAAGGUGGAGCUUGCAGUGAGCCGAGAUUGCACCACUGCACUCCAGCCUGGGCGACAGAGUGAAACUCCGUCUCAAAAAAAUAAAUAAAUAAUAAAUAAAUAAACUCAAAAACCAAACAAAGGCUGGUGAGAAAAUAGCUCAUUUCUUGUCUUAUUCCAGAGUAAGGAGUGGUGACAGAUUAGGAAAAGCAUCAAAAAAGUGGCUUCCAGUGAACAAAAUCAGGAAGUUUGAGUAAAGAAUUUCUCUUUUGCUAAAAACUUAAAUAUAAAAGUUUAGUCAGGAAUUUGUACCCACACAUGUAUACUGCUUUUAACAUUUUUCUCUAGACAUUUGAAAUAUUUUAUUUUCUCUUUAAAAAAGCAGCACCAAAACCUAAAUUUAAUAGUAAUGUUUCUGAUUUAUCAGCUUCUUUCCAUCUUACACUGUUGAAUUCUGUACUGCUUCUAAAGCACCUACAAUUAACUCUACAAGAACUGCACAAUUAACACUCGGCAUUGCCUUCUUCCUAAUUCUAACAUCGACAUUCAUCAGCUUUCUCCAAUACAGUCAGAUGAUUCCUUAUAAUCAUAUCUAGCCAAAUGAUGUAACUUUUGCUUGAUGUAUGGGAAAAUAGCUUACAUUAUGAAUUUAGAAGAGCUAUAGUAGUAUUUGACAAUAUAGAUGGAAAAGUAUUUUUAAUUUAAAGAACAUAUUGCACAUCUUUCAGAAUUUCUGUAAAAACUUUUGAAUGUCCAUUUUGGCUAGGAGCUUAGAAAUGAUCAUGCUUAAGUUUAAUUUUGUGUUUACAUUAAAUCUUUUGGAUUUUCAUUCUGUAUACAAUAUUGCUGUAAAACAUCAUAGUUGUGAAAUCUGGCUCUUUAGGAGAUGCUUACCAUAAAACUGGUUUGAAAACUAUUCUGACUACAGUGUAGCUAUUACAUUCACUAAUAAGAAUUUAGUAUGCCUCUGAAUAUAAGUAAGUCUCUAAUUCCCUAUUUUUUUGGAAUAUUACUGUAUUCUAAGAAUAUCAGAAUAUGAGCUUCUUAAAGAUUUUGAAUUAGCAUAUCCAAAUUGACAGAUAACAUUCUUAGGUGGGGCGUGGUGGCUCAUGCCUAUAAUUUCAGCACGUUGGGAGGCUGAGGUGGGCGGAUCACUUGAGGUCACGAGUUUGAGACCGGGCUACAAGGUGAAACCCCAUCUCUACUAACAAUACAAUAAUUAGCCAGGUGUGGUGGUGCAUGCCUGUAAUCCCAGCUACUUGGGAGGCUGAGGAACAAGAAUUGCUUGAACCUGGGAGGCAGAUAUUACCCCACACUCAACAAAUAAAUAUGAAAGAACUUUACUUACAGGAUAACAUCAUGAUAAAAUUUGCAUUUUAGAAUAACUCUACAAUUAACAAUAAAAAGAAGUACCUAUAACAUUACCCCACAAAAGGGAUAAGGUGUGGUGAACUUGGAAAUUUCAUACAAUUUAGAAAUAUGUAUUGAGCUGUAAAAAUGUUCAUAUUCAUUGACAUAAAACUUUCACAUCUGAACUCUUGAGGUGGCUAUAUAUUGCUUUUGUAAUUUCAAUGAAAACAGAAGCUUGGGCAACUGAAUGAAGGAAGGAUGGAAUGUAAGAGAGGGUGGAGAAAGGUGAAUCAAUGAGAAAGUUAAUGUAACCAGUCAAAUGAUUUAAUAAUUUAUUUUUUAGCAGCAAAUCUCCUUAACAAUAAUACUUUCAACUUAAUAAUACUUUCAUCCCACAUCUAGAAAGCUUACAGCAAACUUUCCAAGUAGUUUGUCUGUUCUCACCCCAAGGUGCAACUCCAAUGCAACCCACGCUUGCUGACCAUUCUUGCUGCUUCACUUUCAUCACUCCUCCAUAACACGUUUAUCUGACUACCAACCUUCUCAUAAUAUCUAUCCACUCACCAUUGGUUCCCACCAUCCCCACACAUUUUGGUUCCUUUAAAUCAAGGGUAAAUAUAGUCUUGAUUGUUCAUGUCACCUAGUGGUAAGACAAAAACUAGCAUGACAGGGUGGAAGUGAAGAUUAUGCCAUAUUUCAGAGGUUUACAUGUUUUCCAGUAGUGAAUCACAACUAUCAGAAAUCCAUAUGUAUGUGGGCCACAUACAUUUUAAAUUAUAACAAUAGUAGAAUUAUAACCUAUUAGCUAUUCAAAAGUAUUUAGUUUUUGGCUGAGGACAGUGGCUCAUGCCUGUAAUCCCAGCAGUUUGGGAGGCUGAGGUGGGAGGAUUGCUUGAGUCUGGCAGUUCAAGACCAGACUGGGCAACAUAGUGAGACCCCCAUCUCUAAAAACAAUUUUUUUUUUAUUGGCCAGGUGUGGUGGUGUCGACCUGUCAUCCCAGCUACUUGAGAGGCUGAAGGGGGAGGAUCGCUUGAGCCCAGGAGGUAGAGGCUGCAGUGAGUCAUGAUGGCACCACUGCACUCCAGCCUGGGUGACAGAGUGAGAGCCUGUCUCAACAACCAGAAAAAAAGUAUUUAGUUUUACAGUAUUACAAAGUAGUGUCACAUUAGUUUAAUGAGGUUUAUUUAUACAAAGGUGUAAAAUUAUGGGCCAAGUACUAGCCUUCAAGUAAUUUCGAAGUCAGCGAGAAUACUGGUAUAUAACGGAUCAAACUUUGUUCAAGAACCAAAGGCUAUUGUUCAACGAAUGGUGCUGAGACAACUGCAAAAGACUAGGACCCUUACCUCACAUGCAAAAGACUGGGACCCUUACCUCACACCAUUUUGCAAAAAUUAGCUCAAAAUGGAUCAAUGACCUAAAUGUAAGAGAAAACCUAUAAAAUUCUCAGAAAAAAACAGAAGGAUAAAUUUGUAUAACCUUGGAUUUGACAGGAUUCUUAGCUAUGACAACAAAAACACAAGCCUCCAGAAGCAAGCAAACAAAAACACCAUAAACUGGACUUCAUCAAAAUUGAAAACUUUAGUGGUUCAAAAGACACCAUCAAGAAAGUGAAAAAAUCCACAGAAUAGGAAAGAUAUUUGCAAAUCAUGUAUCUGAUAAGGGAUCUAUGUCUAUAAUAUGUAACGAACUCUUAAUAAAAAAUAACCCCACUUAAAAUGGGCAAUGAAUCUAAAUAGACAUUUCUCCAAAGAAGAAAUGCAAAUGGCCAAUAAGUACAUGAAAAGAUGCUUGACAUCACCAGAGAAAAGCAAAUAAAGAAACUGCAAGGUUUUCAUUCUUCUUCACUUACAAGGCUUCAUUCUCACUAUGAUAGCCAGAAUAAAAAAGUCAGAUAACAACAAUUAUUGGCAAAGAUAUAGAGGAAAACUGCAAACCUUAUACAUUCUGAUAGGAGUGUAAAAUGGUGCAGCCACUUUGGAAAACAGUCUGGCAGUUCCUCAAGUGAUUAAACAUCUAGUUACUAUAUGACCCAGCAAUUCUACUACUAGGUAUAUACCCAAGAGAAAUGAAACCAUAUGUCCACACAGAAACUUGUACACAUUUGUUUACAGAAGCAUUAUUCAGAAUCACCAAAAGGUGGAAACAACCCAAAUGUCCAUCAACUGACACAUGCAAAAGUAAAAUAUGGUAUCCAUAUAAUGGUAUAUUAUGGUAUAUAAAAGAAUGAAGUACUGAUACAUGCUGCAACAUGAAUGGAUCCUGAAAUCAUUAUGUUAAGUGAAGGAAGCUAGUCACAAAAGACCAUAUGUUAUAUGAUUGCAUUCAAAUGAAUGGAAUAUGGAAAUCUAUGCAGACAGAAAGUAGAUUACUGGCUGUUUAAAGCUGAGGGUGGGAGCAUGGGUGGGCAGGGGAAUAGCUAAAGGGUACAGAGUUUCUUUCCGAGGUAAUGAAAAUGCUCUAAAAUUGACUGUAGUGAUGAUUGCACAUAUCUGUGAAUAUACUAAAAACCACUGAAUUGUACACUUUAAAUGGGUGAAUUGUAUGGUAUGUGAAUUCUAUUUCAAUGAAACUGUUAAAAAAAAAAAAAAGCGGGGGGGGGGAACUGAAUAUAGACAGGGCCCAUCUCAAUUCCCAGUCCAGGUUUACAUUAUUGAAAGUGGCCCUUAGAUUUUAUUUCCAUAGUUUCAGGAAAGAAAAUAUACAUUAAAAGAGUUGGAAGACUCUAAUGUUGCAAGAAUUUGACUACAGAGCCAGAAAUUUCAGAAUGGUAAUAUAUGAUGUAUAUGUUCAUUAAAAAAAAUCCUAGAGAUUAUAUGAGUUUGCUUUCAGCUCAAUCAAUUCCUCUUGAAGUAGAGCCAUGUUGACAAGGCAGAUGCUUACAAAAUUCAAACACAUCUCUCUAGUCAGCUGCAGAAACUUAAAGCAUAAUUCAUGCUAAUGAAAACUAGUGAAUUUCUUCUGAAAUUCAGAUUUUAUUUCUACCAAAUAGCUCAGCCGUUCUUCAAAUUCUGUGAUUCCAUUUAGCACAGGACAGUUCUGAUAUGGGACAUGAAUGCACGCUCCAAGUAACAUCUACCCAACUCCCCAGGUACUGGUAUUAAUAUUAAUAACUAUAGUUCCUUCACAGACUCAUCUAUUUUCUUACUUUUUUCUCUACAGUCUCAAGUUCAGUGUAUUCAGAUAUCUUGCUUGCAACAUCAAACAGAAAAUAUAAUCAUGUUAGGUAUUUGAGUUCGGACAAAGAGGGAUCCCUUUAAUUACCAAAAGUUUUACACCUGAGAUAGCAUCAUUGUGGCUUUCUUCAACAAGCUUCCAUAAUCUUAUCACCUUAUUGC
RNAcentral lists this long non-coding RNA (12993 nucleotides) under Homo sapiens (human). RNAcentral describes it as "non-protein coding NIPBL-DT:16". Lineage: Eukaryota; Metazoa; Chordata; Mammalia; Primates; Hominidae. The record is from RNAcentral.